This 257-nucleotide ribosomal RNA is filed under the name uncultured bacterium. RNAcentral describes it as "partial 16S ribosomal RNA". It matches the Rfam family "Bacterial small subunit ribosomal RNA", at positions 524 to 776 of the family's 1533-position model. The record is from RNAcentral.
UACGUAGGGGGCAAGCGUUGUCCGGAAUCAUUGGCGUAAAGCGCGUGUAGGCGGCCCGGUAAGUCCGCUGUGAAAGUCGGGGGCUCAACCCUCGAAUGCCGGUGGAUACUGUCGGGCUAGAGUGCGGAAGAGGCGAGUGGAAUUCCUGGUGAUAGGCGGUGAAAUGACGCAGAUAUCAGGAGGAACACCAAUUGCGAAGGCAGCUCGCUGGGACGUGACUGACGCUGAGACGCGAAAGCGUGGGGGGAGCAAACAGG